Molecule: ribosomal RNA, 465 nt
Filed under: uncultured bacterium
Lineage: Bacteria
Description: partial 16S ribosomal RNA
Rfam family: Bacterial small subunit ribosomal RNA
Source: RNAcentral
GACGAACGCUGGCGGCGUGCUUAACACAUGCAAGUCGUACGGUAAGGCCCUUUCGGGGGUACACGAGUGGCGAACGGGUGAGUAACACGUGAGUAACCUGCCCACAACUUUGGGAUAACGCUAGGAAACUGGUGCUAAUACUGGAUAUGUGCUCCUGCUGCAUGGUGUGGGUUGGAAAGCUCCGGCGGUUGUGGAUGGACUCGCGGCCUAUCAGCUUGUUGGUGGGGUAGUGGCCUACCAAGGCGGCGACGGGUAGCCGGCCUGAGAGGGUGACCGGCCACAUUGGGACUGAGAUACGGCCCAGACUCCUACGGGGGGCAGCAGUGGGGAAUAUUGCACAAUGGGCGCAAGCCUGAUGCAGCAACGCCGCGGGCGGGAUGACGGGCUUCGGGUUGUAAACCGCUUUCAGCAGGGACGAAGCUUUUUGUGACGGUACCUGCAGAAGAAGCACCGGCUAACUACGUG